GUUAUAGGGUCAAGUGACUAAGAGCAUAUGGUGGAUGCCUUGGCGAUUACAGGCGAUGAAAGACGUGAUAGCCUGCGAAAAGCUUCGGGGAGCUGGCAAAUAAGCUUUGAUCCGGAGAUGUCUGAAUGGGGAAACCCACCCGCAAGGGUAUCAACAGCUCAAUACAUAGGCUGUUGAAGCGAACCUGGAGAACUGAAACAUCUAAGUACCCAGAGGAAAAGAAAUCAACCGAGAUUCCGAUAGUAGUGGCGAGCGAAUUCGGAAGAGCCUUCUAGUGAUAGUCGACGAGUUAACAAAACGGCAUGGAAAGGCCGGCCAUAGUAGGUGAUAGCCCUGUAUGUGAAAACUUGUCGGUGGUACUGAGCUAGAGAAAAGUAGGGCGGGACACGUGUAAUCCUGUCUGAAUAUGGGGGGACCAUCCUCCAAGGCUAAAUACUCGUAAUCGACCGAUAGUGAACCAGUACCGUGAGGGAAAGGCGAAAAGAACCCCGGGAGGGGAGUGAAAUAGAUCCUGAAACCGUAUGCUUACAAAAAGUCGGAGCCUCGUAAGGGGUGACGGCGUACCUUUUGUAUAAUGGGUCAGCGACUUACAUUCAGUGGCAAGCUUAACCGAGUAGGGAAGGCGUAGAGAAAUCGAGUCCGAAUAGGGCGUUUUUAGUCGCUGGGUGUAGACCCGAAACCAAGUGAUCUAACCAUGGCCAGGAUGAAGGUGCCGUAACAGGUACUGGAGGUCCGAACCGACUGAUGUUGCAAAAUCAGCGGAUGAGCUGUGGUUAGGGGUGAAAGGCUAAACAAACUUGGAAAUAGCUGGUUCUCUCCGAAAACUAUUUAGGUAGUGCCUCAAGUAUUACCUGCGGGGGUAGAGCACUGUUUUGGCUAGGGGGUCAUGGCGACUUACCAAACCAAGGCAAACUCCGAAUACCGCAGAGUACAGCUUGGGAGACAGAGCACCGGGUGCUAACGUCCGGACUCAAGAGGGAAACAACCCAGACCGCCAGCUAAGGUCCCUAAAAUUGGCUAAGUGGGAAACGAAGUGGGAAGGCUAAAACAGUCAGGAUGUUGGCUUAGAAGCAGCCAUCAUUUAAAGAAAGCGUAAUAGCUCACUGAUCGAGUCGUCCUGCGCGGAAGAUGUAACGGGGCUAAGCCAGUUACCGAAGCUGCGGAUGUGCAAUUUAUUGCACGUGGUAGGAGAGCGUUCUGUAAGCCUGUGAAGGUGUCUGGUAACGGAUGCUGGAGGUAUCAGAAGUGCGAAUGCUGACAUGAGUAGCGUUAAAAGGGGUGAAAAGCCCCUUCGCCGUAAGCGCAAGGUUUCCUACGCAACGUUCAUCGGCGUAGGGUGAGUCGGCCCCUAAGGCGAGGCAGAGAUGCGUAGCUGAUGGGAAACAGGUCAAUAUUCCUGUACCGAUCAAUAGUGCGAUGUGGGGACGGAGAAGGUUAGCUCAGCCACCUGUUGGAAUAGGUGGUUCAAGCGUGUAGUCGUGCCUGGUAGGCAAAUCCGCCGGGCUUAGAUGAGGCGUGAUAACGAGUGUGCUUGCACACGAAGUGAGUGAUAC
RNAcentral lists this ribosomal RNA (1553 nucleotides) under Acidovorax sp. 12322-1. RNAcentral describes it as "bacterial LSU rRNA". It matches the Rfam family "Bacterial large subunit ribosomal RNA", at positions 1 to 1600 of the family's 2925-position model. The record is from RNAcentral. Lineage: Bacteria; Pseudomonadati; Pseudomonadota; Betaproteobacteria; Burkholderiales; Comamonadaceae.